UGGGCUGGUAAUUACAUUCUUCAUGCAUUAAAAUUUUAUGAUUUCAUGUUUUGUUUUCCUCUCUACUUUUUGUCAUAGUAAAUAUGUAGUGUUAGGUAAGGCACAGCCCUAUCAAGGUCUGCUCCAGUGCUACUCGAGUGUCCUAGGAAGGAAUCAGCACUCACAGAAACUGCCAGAGUACUGGCGGUUCUGCACACUGUUUCACCCAGUCCUCGGCACACGGAGGCACCUCACAAGGGGCAGAGCAAACAGGGAGGAAGCGGCUGGACCCGAGCCACCUAACUGUGAAGUCACAGAGCAGCAAAGCAGUGCAGGCAUGUCACCUAGUUACCAUGGGCAUGGCCCAAGCCCUGAGGCUGCUAGUAAGAGAAAAGGACUAUUUGAUCUUAAAGCAAGAACUAUGAAGAGAAGGUGAAGAAAGGAAGGAAAAUUCAUGAUAAUUCAUCAUAUAUCAUAAGACACCAGCUUCUGAACAAGAGAACCAUGCCAGUCACUGUGACUCUAGACAGAGAACGAAGAAGUCCUCUACGAGCCCCAUGGGUUUACAGAAGUCUGUCAAUCUCUCUGUCCAUCUUCCGGAUCAUUAUUCAAGUCGCUAUCCCCAGUUUCGCUAGAUAUGGAAGAUCUAGUCCAGCUCCAGCUCUGUAGAUGACUUUUCUUCCUAAUGGAUUAGGAAUUGGUUCCCUUUAAAUUAUCUUUGAGCUGAUCUGCUGCUCAAAAAAGCAGUAGGAAUGUCACCACCACCCGUGUUUGUUUUGUGUAUGUGUUUAUAUCUCUACCUCACCACCCUUGUAUUAUGAUUGCCACACGAGAACUUAAAACUGUCCGUGGAACUGUUAGCAAAACUUAA
Molecule: long non-coding RNA, 850 nt
Organism: Peromyscus maniculatus bairdii (prairie deer mouse)
Lineage: Eukaryota; Metazoa; Chordata; Mammalia; Rodentia; Cricetidae
Source: RefSeq, a predicted model, not a curated record